This 742-nucleotide ribosomal RNA is filed under the name uncultured Armatimonadota bacterium. Its description in RNAcentral is "bacterial SSU rRNA". It matches the Rfam family "Bacterial small subunit ribosomal RNA", at positions 383 to 1133 of the family's 1533-position model. The record is from RNAcentral. Lineage: Bacteria; Bacillati; Armatimonadota.
CUGACGCAGCGACGCCGCGUGACUGAUGACGUCUUUCGGGAUGUAAAGGUCUUUUUUGGGGGAAGAAGGAUGUGACGGUACCCCAAGAAUAAGCCCCGGCUAACUACGUGCCAGCAGCCGCGGUAAUACGUAGGGGGCGAGCGUUGUCCGAAUUUACUGGGCGUAAAGCGCGCGUAGGCGGGUCUGUAAGUCGGGGGUGAAAUGCCGAGGCUCAACCUCGGAACUGCCUUCGAAACUGUGGGCCUUGAGGUUUGGAGAGGGAAGUGGAAUUCCUGGUGUAGCGGUGAAAUGCGUAGAUAUCAGGAGGAACACCUGUGGCGAAGGCGGCUUCCUGGCCAUAUCCUGACGCUGAGGUGCGAAAGCUAGGGGAGCGAACGGGAUUAGAUACCCCGGUAGUCCUAGCCGUAAACGAUGGAUACUAGGUGUUAGAGGUAUCGACCCCUCUAGUGCCGGAGCUAACGCAUUAAGUAUCCCGCCUGGGGAGUACGACCGCAAGGUUGAAACUCAAAGGAAUUGACGGGGGCCCGCACAAGCGGUGGAGCAUGUGGUUUAAUACGUCACUAACCGUAGAACCUUACCCAGGCUUGACAUCUGGUGUAAGUGCCUGAAAGGGUUACCCCUGUAUGGAAACAUACAGCACCAAGACAGGUGUUGCAUGGCUGUCGUCAGCUCGUGUCGUGAGAUGUUGGGUUAAGUCCCGCAACGAGCGCAACCCUCAUCCGAUGUUGCCAGCGUAAAGUCG